AGAAUUUCAACCGUUAUUGGGAUGAGUAGGCAGCACACCAGACUCAUCCAUAUUAGUCUACGGAGUACUUGGGUUCCGAUCAUUUGUUUUAUCAUACAUUUUUACCGUUGUACUAACGUAUCCAAUUUGGGUGUGAGCGUUGAUAGUGAGAUCACCGCGUUCUAUACCAAUUCCGAAACUGAACAUUUUCCUUUUCCGAUGGUUUUUGUCGUACUUCGCUUCAUUUGUAGUCUCAGGUUUUGCGUGUAAACAUCCCAUUUUAUAUAUUCUUCUUUUUACUUUUCGCUGACUUUGGUUUUUCUCCCUUCACAGUUUUUGUUGACGGUCCCGCUUUGCCUUCCUUACACGACGUAACGUACUUGAUGUUGGUUGUCUUGGAUUUAACGUAACCGAGAUUCAGCCCACCUUUACUGAGUUUUAUAUCGACGUUGACGGUCUUGUCCCUUUUUAAAUUUUCCUUAACUCUGAUUCUGUCGC
Molecule: long non-coding RNA, 477 nt
Filed under: Paramuricea clavata
Lineage: Eukaryota; Metazoa; Cnidaria; Anthozoa; Malacalcyonacea; Plexauridae
Source: RNAcentral